Molecule: ribosomal RNA, 468 nt
Filed under: uncultured bacterium
Lineage: Bacteria
Description: partial 16S ribosomal RNA
Rfam family: Bacterial small subunit ribosomal RNA
Source: RNAcentral
GACGAACGCUGGCGGCGUGCUUAACACAUGCAAGUCGAACGGACAGGCCCUGCUUUUGUGGGGUGCUCGAGUGGCGAACGGGUGAGUAACACGUGAGUAACCUGCCCUUGACUUUGGGAUAACUUCAGGAAACUGGGGCUAAUACCGGAUAGGAGCUCCUGCUGCAUGGUGGGGAUUGGAAAGUUUCGGCGGUUGGGGAUGGACUCGCGGCUUAUCAGCUUGUUGGUGGGGUAGUGGCUUACCAAGGCUUCGACGGGUAGCCGGCCUGGGAGGGUGACCGGGCACAUGGGGACUGAGAUACGGACCAGACUCCUACGGGAGGCAGCAGUGGAGAAUAUUGCACAAUGGGCGGAAGCCUGAUGCAACAACGCCGCGUGCGGGAUGACGGCCUUCGGGUUGUAAACCGCUUUCGCAUGUGACGAAGCGUGAGUGACGGUAAUGGGUAAAGAAGCACCGGCUAACUACGUG